AGGUGACCUGGCCCCGGAGCUGCUCCCUGGACCUGCGGGAGGUGCUCUGCGACCGCCCACGCCCCGGCCCGCGGCGCGUCCCGGACGUCCACGCUUGCGUUUCUGCGGAUCGUGGGAAUCCUUCUGCGUGGGUCUGUCUCACACCUUAACUUGAAGAGUUUUAGAAAUGCUAACCGAGCUCAGGUUUUGAACAUGUCUGGGACUGUGAAUUGGCUGCCAGAAUGAAGCAAAAGCAGCCAGGCUGAGAGAACCAUGGAGCUCUGAAGCCAGUCCCAAGAAGAAGCAGAAGACAUAAUACAAGCAGAAGACAGGGAGAGAAUAUUCUACGCGUAUAUACACAGGCUCAAUUUAGGCUAAUCCCUACGGGUAUGCUGCUGCCAAGUUGGUUCUUUUACUGUGCUCAUCAGAAGUGCCAGAAAAAUACCCGCACCCGCCCCCCAUUUAGCCUCUGGAAGAAGAUGUUCUAAAGGGCUCACAAACAUCCAGAUGUAGCUCUUACCAAGCUCCAGCGUCAGAAGGAGUGCCUCAGCGUCUAAGUCCGUAUAUACACACACGGCUUUUCAUGCAUCCUCUGCUGGGGAGGUCACAAUCUGAGGCACCCUUUAAAGCCACUUCUGGGAGAAAAGAAAGAGAAAAAAAAAAAUCAACCACUGAACGUCUAGUGAGCUGUUUCCUAAGGAGGCAUCAACAAACUCCUACCAGCCCCAGUCCUCAGUAACGUCAUGAGAUGGGCUGCUUGUGGUUGUCAAAACUGAUCUUCCCACUGCGGGUGAACACGUACGGCGGAUUGUUAUGGCUUAGGGCGCUUGACUGCACCGCUGUGAAAAUAUUCAGCAGAAUUCCACAAGCUCUUUGUUUGCCUUGCCUUAGUGGAAAUUCCUCCAGCUAUCCAAACACGCACCUGGGGGAGGUGUUUUUUUUUUCCCCCUCCACAUUUCAGGAAGGGGUUUCUUCUAAGUAAAAAUGUGUCCUUACCUCUCUUCUAAGUUCUCAGGCAAGACUUCUGGUUUGAGUUGAAGAUGACUAUGAAUGUGUUCUGGUUGGAAAGGGAGGUGGAGUUGGAGGAGCCGGAGAGGUCUGUAGCAAAUGUUCCUCCAACAGAGCUAAGCUGGGAAAAGGAAAGCCAAUGGAAGCCAACAAAGAAGGAAGCACGAAGCAAGGCUCCCCCAGAUUCCUAGAAGCCCAGGAACACAAAAGCCAGGAAGAUGAAUCGUCUUUUACAGUAGUAGACCUGUAUAUAGGAACGGGGAAGAUUCUAGGGUGAAAGAUCCGGGCUGCCGCUGGUCACCCAGAAGGGAGUAUGUACCUUGAGUUUCGUAACACGGAAUGGAAGUUUGGAGGCCCCUUGAAAAGAACCAAAGCACAAAGGAAGUUGGGCCUGAAGAAGGCUGGGAGACCUCUCACGCAGAGACCCAGGGCUCAGGACAGAGAAAGGAAGGUAGAACGCCAAGUGGAUCUCAUAUUUGCUCUGCGGGCUUCUGGGAAGUGUUUGAAAACAUUCUAUUUAAACUGUGCCUCUUAAGAGAGCUCUCCACUUACAUCUAACUCAGUGUGCUCAUAUUAGCAAAUAGAAAUUAUGGGAACAUUCCAAGUGCUCCCCGCCUUCCUGGUCCUCCCUCCCUGACCCCGAUAGUCUGUCCUGCCUGGAGUCUGGGCGAAUGUUUGUUUCUGAGGGAUGGAAACUGAUUAAAAACUAGAAGGCUGCUUGGGAAAAA
RNAcentral lists this long non-coding RNA (1715 nucleotides) under Mus musculus (house mouse). Its description in RNAcentral is "RIKEN cDNA 4930556M19 gene". The record is from RNAcentral. Lineage: Eukaryota; Metazoa; Chordata; Mammalia; Rodentia; Muridae.